RNAcentral lists this ribosomal RNA (252 nucleotides) under uncultured bacterium. Its description in RNAcentral is "partial 16S ribosomal RNA". It matches the Rfam family "Bacterial small subunit ribosomal RNA", at positions 524 to 776 of the family's 1533-position model. The record is from RNAcentral.
UACGGAGGAUGCGAGCGUUAUCCGGAUUUAUCGGGUUUAAAGGGUGCGUAGGCGGGCUUUUAAGUCAGCGGUAAAAAUUCGGGGCUCAACCCCGUCCGGCCGUUGAAACUGGGGGCCUUGAGUGGGCGAGAAGAAGGCGGAAUGCGUGGUGUAGCGGUGAAAUGCAUAGAUAUCACGCAGAACCCCGAUUGCGAAGGCAGCCUUCCGGCGCCCUACUGACGCUGAGGCACGAAAGUGCGGGGAUCGAACAGG